This 320-nucleotide ribosomal RNA is filed under the name uncultured Prevotella sp. RNAcentral describes it as "partial 16S ribosomal RNA". The record is from RNAcentral. Lineage: Bacteria; Pseudomonadati; Bacteroidota; Bacteroidia; Bacteroidales; Prevotellaceae.
GGAGUUUGGACCGUGUCUCAGUUCCAAUGUGGGGGACCUUCCUCUCAGAACCCCUACUGAUCGAUGGCUCGGUGGGCCGUUACCCCGCCUACUACCUAAUCAGACGCAUCCCCAUCCCAUAGCGAUAAAUCUUUGGUAUUGCUCAGAUGUCCUCAUAAUACAACAUAGGGCAUUAAUCCGACUUUCGCCGGGCUAUUCCCUACUAUGGGGAAGGUUGGAUACGCGUUACUCACCCGUGCGCCGGUCGUCAGCAAGAAAAGCAAGCUUCUCUCCUGCUACCCCUCGACUUGCAUGUGUUAAGCCUGUAGCUAGCGUUCAUC